This 466-nucleotide ribosomal RNA is filed under the name uncultured Sphingobacteriales bacterium. RNAcentral's name for it is "bacterial SSU rRNA". It matches the Rfam family "Bacterial small subunit ribosomal RNA", at positions 917 to 1381 of the family's 1533-position model. Lineage: Bacteria; Pseudomonadati; Bacteroidota; Sphingobacteriia; Sphingobacteriales. The record is from RNAcentral.
GUGACGGGGCCGCACAAGCGGAGGACAUGUGGUUUAAUUCGAUGAUACGCGAGGAACCUUACCUGGCUUAAAUGUAGAGUGCAUUUUUAGAGAUAGAAAUUCCCUUCGGGGCUUUCUGCAAGGUGCUGCAUGGUUGUCGUCAGCUCGUGCCGUGAGGUGUCGGGUUAAGUCCCAUAACGAGCGCAACCCUUAUCGUUAGUUGCCAGCUGGUAAAGCAGGGGACUCUAGCGAAACUGCCACCGUAAGGUGAGAGGAAGGUGGGAUGACGUCAAAUCAGCACGGCCCUUAUGUCCAGGGCUACACGCGUGUUACAAUGGCCGGCACAGAGGGCAGCUACCUGGUGACAGGAUGCUAAUCUCGAAAACCGGUCUCAGUUCGGAUCGAAGUCUGCAACCCGACUCCAUGAAGCUGGAUUCGCUAGUAAUCGCGCAUCAGCCAUGGCGCGGUGAAUACGUUCCCGGGCCUU